AGUGAACGCUGGCGGCGUGCCUAAUACAUGCAAGUCGAACGAUGAAGUCCUAGCUUGCUAGGAUGGAUUAGUGGCGCACGGGUGAGUAAUAUAUAGUUAAUCUGCCCUACACAGAGGAACAACAGUUGGAAACGACUGCUAAUACCUCAUACUCCUAUUUGACAUAAGUUAAAUAGGGAAAGUCUUUUCGGUGUAGGAUGAGACUAUAUCGUAUCAGCUAGUUGGUAAGGUAAUGGCUUACCAAGGCUAUGACGCGUAACUGGUCUGAGAGGAUGAUCAGUCACAUUGGAACUGAGACACGGUCCAAACUCCUACGGGAGGCAGCAGUAAGGAAUAUUGCGCAAUGGGGGAAACCCUGACGCAGCAACGCCGCGUGGAGGAUGACACUUUUCGGAGCGUAAACUCCUUUUAUCAGGAAAGAAUAAUGACGGUACCUGAUGAAUAAGCACCGGCUAACUCCGUGCCAGCAGCCGCGGUAAUACGGGGGGUGCAAGCGUUACUCGGAAUUACUGGGCGUAAAGGGUGCGUAGGCGGUAAUAUAAGUUGGAGUUUUAAACCAUGGGCUCAACCCAUGUCAGGCUCCAAAACUGUAUAACUUGAGUACUGGAGAGGAAAGUGGAAUUCCUAGUGUAGCGGUGAAAUGCGUAGAUAUUAGGAGGAAUACCGGUGGCGAAGGCGACUUUCUGGACAGUAACUGACGCUGAGGCACGAAAGCGUGGGUAGCAAACAGG
Molecule: ribosomal RNA, 731 nt
Filed under: Campylobacter ureolyticus
Lineage: Bacteria; Pseudomonadati; Campylobacterota; Epsilonproteobacteria; Campylobacterales; Campylobacteraceae
Description: bacterial SSU rRNA
Rfam family: Bacterial small subunit ribosomal RNA
Source: RNAcentral